This 253-nucleotide ribosomal RNA is filed under the name uncultured bacterium. RNAcentral's name for it is "partial 16S ribosomal RNA". It matches the Rfam family "Bacterial small subunit ribosomal RNA", at positions 524 to 776 of the family's 1533-position model. The record is from RNAcentral.
UACGAAGGGGGCGAGCGUUGUUCGGAUUUACUGGGCGUAAAGGGCGCGUAGGCGGCCUUGUCAGUCAGGCGUGAAAGCCCCGGGCUCAACCUGGGAACUGCAUUUGAAACUGGCGGGCUUGAGUGUGGCAGAGGGGGGUGGAAUUCCGCGUGUAGCAGUGAAAUGCGUAGAGAUGCGGAGGAACACCGAUGGCGAAGGCAGCCCCCUGGGCCAACACUGACGCUCAGGCACGAAAGCGUGGGGAGCAAACAGG